This 528-nucleotide ribosomal RNA is filed under the name uncultured bacterium. RNAcentral describes it as "bacterial SSU rRNA". It matches the Rfam family "Bacterial small subunit ribosomal RNA", at positions 777 to 1304 of the family's 1533-position model. The record is from RNAcentral.
AAUAGAUACCCCGGUAGUCCACGCCGUAAACGAUGAGUGCUAAGUGUUAGAGGGUUUCCGCCCUUUAGUGCUGCAGCUAACGCAUUAAGCACUCCGCCUGGGGAGUACGGUCGCAAGACUGAAACUCAAAGGAAUUGACGGGGGCCCGCACAAGCGGUGGAGCAUGUGGUUUAAUUCGAAGCAACGCGAAGAACCUUACCAGGUCUUGACAUCCCACUGACCGGUCUAGAGAUAUACCUUUCCCUUCGGGGACAGUGGUGACAGGUGGUGCAUGGUUGUCGUCAGCUCGUGUCGUGAGAUGUUGGGUUAAGUCCCGCAACGAGCGCAACCCUUGAUCUUAGUUGCCAGCAUUUAGUUGGGCACUCUAAGGUGACUGCCGGUGACAAACCGGAGGAAGUGGGGAUGACGUCAAAUCAUCAUGCCCCUUAUGACCUGGGCUACACACGUGCUACAAUGGAUGGUACAAAGGGCUGCAAGACUGCGAAGUCAAGCCAAUCCCAUAAAACCAUUCUCAGUUCGGAUUGCAGG